GCUAGUAAUGGCAGGUCAGCAUACUGCCGUGAAUACGUUCCCGGGCCUGUACACACCGCCCGUCACACCAUGAGAGUUGGGAAUACCCGAAGCCUGUGAGCUAACAUUAAGAGGCAGCAGUCGAAGGUAGAAUCAAUGAUUGGGUGAAGUCGUAACAAGGUAUC
Molecule: ribosomal RNA, 164 nt
Filed under: uncultured bacterium
Lineage: Bacteria
Description: partial 16S ribosomal RNA
Rfam family: Bacterial small subunit ribosomal RNA
Source: RNAcentral